AUGACGUUGAUAGGGUGCAGGUGUAAAGACGGUGACGUCAAAGCCGAGCACUACUAAUUGUCCGAGAUCUUUCG
Molecule: ribosomal RNA, 74 nt
Filed under: Prevotella sp. khp7
Lineage: Bacteria; Pseudomonadati; Bacteroidota; Bacteroidia; Bacteroidales; Prevotellaceae
Description: partial 23S rRNA. Bacterial LSU
Source: RNAcentral